UACGUAGGGUGCGAGCGUUGUCCGGAAUUAUUGGGCGUAAAGAGCUUGUAGGCGGUUUGUCGCGUCUGCCGUGAAAAUCCGGGGCUCAACCCCGGACUUGCGGUGGGUACGGGCAGACUAGAGUGUGGUAGGGGAGACUGGAAUUCCUGGUGUAGCGGUGAAAUGCGCAGAUAUCAGGAGGAACACCGAUGGCGAAGGCAGGUCUCUGGGCCACUACUGACGCUGAGAAGCGAAAGCGUGGGAGCGAACAGGA
RNAcentral lists this ribosomal RNA (253 nucleotides) under uncultured bacterium. RNAcentral's name for it is "partial 16S ribosomal RNA". It matches the Rfam family "Bacterial small subunit ribosomal RNA", at positions 524 to 777 of the family's 1533-position model. The record is from RNAcentral.